UAGAGUUUGAUCAUGGCUCAGGAUGAACGCUGGCGGUAUGCCUAAUACAUGCAAGUCGUACGAAAGUUUUUAACUUUAGUGGCGGACGGGUGAGUAACGCGUGAGAAUUUACCUUUAGGAGGGGGAUAACAACUGGAAACGGUUGCUAAUACCCCAUAUGCUUUCGAGUGAAAUAGAUUUAUCUGCCUGAAGAGAAGCUCGCGUCUGAUUAGCUUGUUGGUGGGGUAACGGCCUACCAAGGCGACGAUCAGUAUCUGGUUUGAGAGGAUGAUCAGACACACUGGAACUGAGACACGGUCCAGACUCCUACGGGAGGCAGCAGUAGGGAAUUUUCCGCAAUGGGCGAAAGCCUGACGGAGCAAUACCGCGUGAGGGAAGACUGCCUAUGGGUUGUAAACCUCUUUUUUCAGGGAGGAAUUUUGACGUGUACCUGAAGAAUAAGCAUCGGCUAACUCCGUGCCAGCAGCCGCGGUAAGACGGAGGAUGCAAGUGUUAUCCGGAAUCACUGGGCGUAAAGCGUCUGUAGGUGGUUGAACAAGUCAACUGUUAAAUCUUGAAGCUCAACUUCAAAAUCGCAGUCGAAACUGUUUGACUAGAGUAUAGUAGGGGUAAAGGGAAUUUCCAG
This 625-nucleotide ribosomal RNA is filed under the name uncultured bacterium. Its description in RNAcentral is "bacterial SSU rRNA". It matches the Rfam family "Bacterial small subunit ribosomal RNA", at positions 1 to 673 of the family's 1533-position model. The record is from RNAcentral.